GAAUAUUGGACAAUGGGCGAAAGCCUGAUCCAGCCAUGCCGCGUGUGUGAAGAAGGUCUUCGGAUUGUAAAGCACUUUAAGUUGGGAGGAAGGGCAGUAAGUUAAUACCUUGCUGGUUUGACGUUACCGACAGAAUACGCCCCGGCUAACUCAGUGCCAGCAGCCGCGGUAAUACGAAGGGUGCAAGCGUUAAUCGGAAUUACUGGGCGUAAAGCGCGCGUAGGAGGUUUGUUAAGUUGGAUGUGAAAGCCCCGGGCUCAACCUGGGAACUGCAUCCAAAACUGGCAAGCUAGAGUACGGUAGAGGGUGGUGGAAUUUCCUGUGUAGCGGUGAAAUGCGUAGAUAUAGGAAGGAACACCAGUGGCGAAGGCGACCACCUGGACUGAUACUGACACUGAGGUGCGGAAGCGUGGGGAGCAAACAGG
Molecule: ribosomal RNA, 425 nt
Filed under: uncultured bacterium
Lineage: Bacteria
Description: bacterial SSU rRNA
Rfam family: Bacterial small subunit ribosomal RNA
Source: RNAcentral